UGGUGGAGUGAUUUGUCUGGUUAAUUCCGUUAACGAACGAGACCUCCGCCUGCUAAAUAAUUGCAUGUACAGUUUUUAUUGUAGAUGUGAAUUACUUAGAGGGACUUUUAGCGAUUAGCUAAAGGAAGUUGGAGGCAAUAACA
RNAcentral lists this ribosomal RNA (143 nucleotides) under uncultured eukaryote. RNAcentral's name for it is "partial 18S ribosomal RNA". It matches the Rfam family "Eukaryotic small subunit ribosomal RNA", at positions 1299 to 1458 of the family's 1831-position model. The record is from RNAcentral.